GUGCUUGCUCCAACAGCACAUAGACUAAAUUUGGAAUGAUACAGAGAAGAUUAGCAUGGCCCCUAUACAAGGAUGACAUGCAAAUUCAUGAAGCCUUCAGUAUUUUU
Molecule: small nuclear RNA, 107 nt
Filed under: Vombatus ursinus (common wombat)
Lineage: Eukaryota; Metazoa; Chordata; Mammalia; Diprotodontia; Vombatidae
Source: RNAcentral